UACGAAGGGGGCUAGCGUUGCUCGGAAUCACUGGGCGUAAAGGGUGCGUAGGCGGGUUUUAAGUCAGAGGUGAAAUCCUGGAGCUCAACUCCAGAACUGCCUUUGAUACUGGGAAUCUUGAGUAUGGAAGAGGUGAGUGGAACUGCGAGUGUAGAGGUGAAAAUUCGUAGAUAUUCGGAGGAACACCAGUGGCGAAGGCGGCUUACUGGUCCAUUACUGACGCUGAG
This 227-nucleotide ribosomal RNA is filed under the name uncultured bacterium. RNAcentral's name for it is "partial 16S ribosomal RNA". It matches the Rfam family "Bacterial small subunit ribosomal RNA", at positions 524 to 750 of the family's 1533-position model. The record is from RNAcentral.